RNAcentral lists this non-coding RNA (374 nucleotides) under Pongo abelii (Sumatran orangutan). Lineage: Eukaryota; Metazoa; Chordata; Mammalia; Primates; Hominidae. The record is from RNAcentral.
GUGGUUUGCAAAAAACUUCUUUUCUGGGCACUUCGACAAAGGUUGCAGUGAACAGUGACUGUCCGACAGCGAGGGAUCCUGGUCACUGAAUGAGAAGACACAGGAGGUAGAGCAGCACUUGCUGACUCAGAAGCAUUAACAUAAAACGCUGGAGUGCAGGGCACAAUAAUGGUUGACUGCAGCCUCAACCUCCAGGGCUCAAGGGAUCCUUCCACCUCAGCCUCCCCAGUAGUUGGGAUUACACGGAUAUUUCAAGAUUCAGCAUCAUUUCAGACCCUGAAAAAUCCCUGAAAAUUGAAUUCUCAAUAGAUAAUGCAACUCCACAUAAUAUCUGGAUUUUGUAAAUGCUUGCUAAUAGAUUGUUUUACAACGUG